RNAcentral lists this unclassified non-coding RNA (223 nucleotides) under uncultured fungus. RNAcentral describes it as "sequence contains ITS1, 5.8S rRNA gene". The record is from RNAcentral. Lineage: Eukaryota; Fungi.
ACAAAUCCAUGAUGAAUUGUGUUUGUGUGGGUGUCAUUUGUGAGGGUGUAUUCAUUUGUUUGGAGUGAGAAGUGUCACAGCUUCUCUUUCUCUUUCAUCUGAUGCAUACUCGAUGGAUGCAUUCACAUGGAUGCAAUCACAUUAGUUCCAUGUACAAUUCAUCGUUGUGCAUGAUUACAUUUCUACGAAUCAUCUGAUUGUGUGACUAUAUAAUUGCAAAGAA